GGAAGGGGUGUAUUUAUUAGAUUAAAAACCAAUGCCCUUCGGGGCUCCCUGGUGAUUCAUAAUAACUUCUCGAAUCGCACGGCCUUGCGCCGGCGAUGGUUCAUUCAAAUUUCUGCCCUAUCAACUUUCGACGGCAGGGUCUUGGCCUGCCAUGGUGACAACGGGUAACGGAGGGUUAGGGCUCGACCCCGGAGAAGGAGCCUGAGAAACGGCUACUACAUCCAAGGAAGGCAGCAGGCGCGCAAAUUACCCAAUCCCGACUCGGGGAGGUAGUGACAAUAAAUACUGAUACAGGGCUCUUUUGGGUCUUGUAAUUGGAAUGAGUACAAUUUAAAUCCCUUAACGAGGAACAAUUGGAGGGCAAGUCUGGUGCCAGCAGCCGCGGUAAUUCCAGCUCCAAUAGCGUAUAUUAAAGUUGUUGAGGUUAAAAAGCUCGUAGUUGAACCUUGGGCCUAGCCGGCCGGUCCGCCUCACCGCGUGCACUGGCUCGGUUGGGCCUUUCUUUCUGGAGAACCCCAUGUCCUUCACUGGGUGUGGUGGGGAACCAGGACUUUUAC
This 557-nucleotide ribosomal RNA is filed under the name uncultured Ascomycota. RNAcentral's name for it is "SSU rRNA". It matches the Rfam family "Eukaryotic small subunit ribosomal RNA", at positions 194 to 755 of the family's 1831-position model. The record is from RNAcentral. Lineage: Eukaryota; Fungi; Ascomycota.